GACACUGUUGAGCAUGGAAAAACCAUUGUAAAAUAAGAACAAAUUCUUAUUUUACAAUGACGGCCUACCCCGGGACAAACCCUCCACUAACCCGGACGACACUGACAAUUGUGUGCCGCCCGAUCACGGACGGUUAUGAUACAGCCCGAGAUCGAACCCGGGUCUGUAGUGAUGCCUCUAGCACUGAGAUGCAGUGCAUUAGACUGCUGCGCCACUCACGAGGAAGUAGAUUUAAUAAUCGACUUCAAUAAGGGAUCAUAUCCUUCACCUGGUCAGCCUACGUCAACGGAUAGAGUAGUUAGGUGUUCCUAAUGUUUUGUCCACUCAGUGUAUACACUGUGUAUACUAGAUUAGGUUGCUUAGUUAGAUGUCAAAGCCCUCCUGAAUAGUGAUGUUAAACUACAGGGUUCUUUCCAAUGUAACAACGGAGUUACUCGACAUGGGAUGGUGUAUAUUUGAAUGUUUCUUCUUUCACUACUUGUUUUCCUAUCACGAACGCCUCAUCGUCCCUCUCCCUCUGCGGUAUUAAAAGCAGGGAGAUUAACACAAGCAUUUACCGAACUACCGUAUUUAAAGGGGAGGUGGGCAUCCCUGGCAAAAUGUAAAAACAAAAUGGUGUCGGGUUGGCUUUGAGUGACCUGAUAGGUGGGUUUGGACACCAGUGAUUUGUUGUCGGGUUGGCUUUGAGUGACCUGAUAGGUGGGUUUGGAAAGGUCUGUUUCCUGCGUCAACUGCUACACACUGCACUCUGCUUUCACGGGGAGAUAUGAUGCUGUUGGUUUUUGUAUAUAUGUAUUUAUGCAGUUCCAUCUUUCUGUUCUGUUGUCCUUAUAGUUCCAGACUGCUCCUUAGUUUUGUAACUGCUACUUUUUCAAAUUUCUUUUGAAGGAGACUGUUUUUUGUUGUUGUUUUUUUAGGAUGUGGAAAAUGAAAAUGGUUUAAGUUUGAGAUUUCUUUUUCCCCUUUUCUCUGCAUUCUGCAUCUGAUGCUGUGAGACUGUUGGAAACGUGAUACUGUAUGACAAUAACAAAUAAAUACACUUUGAAACAUUGUAA
Long non-coding RNA from Oncorhynchus tshawytscha (Chinook salmon), 1055 nucleotides. RefSeq lists it as uncharacterized. Lineage: Eukaryota; Metazoa; Chordata; Actinopteri; Salmoniformes; Salmonidae. The transcript is spliced from 2 exons. The record is from RefSeq and is a predicted model, not a curated record.